GAGUUUGAUCGUGGCUCAGAGCGAACGCUGGCGGCAGGCCUAACACAUGCAAGUCGAACGGACCCUUCGGGGUUAGUGGCGGACGGGUGAGUAACACGUGGGAACGUGCCUUUAGGUUCGGAAUAGCUCCUGGAAACGGGUGGUAAUGCCGAAUGUGCCCUUCGGGGGAAAGAUUUAUCGCCUUUAGAGCGGCCCGCGUCUGAUUAGCUAGUUGGUGAGGUAACGGCUCACCAAGGCGACGAUCAGUAGCUGGUCUGAGAGGAUGACCAGCCACACUGGGACUGAGACACGGCCCAGACUCCUACGGGAGGCAGCAGUGGGGAAUCUUGCGCAAUGGGCGAAAGCCUGACGCAGCCAUGCCGCGUGAAUGAUGAAGGUCUUAGGAUUGUAAAAUUCUUUCACCGGGGACGAUAAUGACGGUACCCGGAGAAGAAGCCCCGGCUAACUUCGUGCCAGCCGCCG
RNAcentral lists this ribosomal RNA (462 nucleotides) under uncultured microorganism. RNAcentral's name for it is "bacterial SSU rRNA". It matches the Rfam family "Bacterial small subunit ribosomal RNA", at positions 9 to 517 of the family's 1533-position model. The record is from RNAcentral.